UAUUCGUUGGUCCCUGGUGGAUAGUUGUUUUCAUUGUUAUCCGUUGGUCCCUGGUUGAUAGUUGUGUCAUUGUUUAUUAGUUGGUCCCUGGUGGAUAGUUGUUUCAUUGUUUAUUCGUUGGUCCCUGGUGAUAGUUGAGUUCAUUGUUUUAUUAGUUGUCCCUGGUGAUAGUUGUGUCAUUGUUUAUUAGUUGGUCCCUGGUGGAUAGUUGUCUCAUUGUUUAUUAGUUGGUCCCUGGUGGAUAGUUGUGUUUCAUUGUUUAUCCGUUGGUCCCUUGUUGAUAGUUGUCUCUCAUUGUUUAUUCGUUGGUCCUGGUGGAUAGUUGUCUCAUUGUUUAUUCGUUGGUCCCUGGUGGAUAGUUUUGUUCAUUGUUUAUUCGUUGGUCCCUGGUUGAUAGUUUUGUUCAUUGUUUAUUCGUUGGUCCCUGGUUGAUAGUUGUGUUCAUUGUUUAUUCGUUGGUCCCUGGUGGAUAGUUGUCUCAUUGUUUAUUCGUUGGUCCCUGGUUGAUAGUUGUGUUAUUGUUUAUUCAUU
This 531-nucleotide long non-coding RNA is filed under the name Mytilus galloprovincialis (Mediterranean mussel). Lineage: Eukaryota; Metazoa; Mollusca; Bivalvia; Mytilida; Mytilidae. The record is from RNAcentral.